This 658-nucleotide long non-coding RNA is filed under the name Trifolium pratense (red clover). RNAcentral's name for it is "long non-coding RNA (TPRA_LNC001785)". The record is from RNAcentral. Lineage: Eukaryota; Viridiplantae; Streptophyta; Magnoliopsida; Fabales; Fabaceae.
UGAGCCUCAAAUUCAUGCAUUUCUAUAAUUCAUUUUCCUUCUAUAGUUGUAGUACCAUUUUAUUUUGUUGUGAAUGAUGUUAAUCAAGGCACCAAGCUUGCUUUCAUUUUCAAUUUGAUCAAGUGUUGCACAUUUCUCUAAUUCAUUCCAUUUCUUACUAGAUCAUCACAUACAUUGUAAUUGAAGGCAUACAUUGUAAUCGAAGGUAUGAUUGGCUGCCUUCGAUUUUAUAUAGAAAUUUAUUUUAUCUGUCACACAUGAAAUAUUUGUCGGCCAUUGAUUAUUUUUCAGGUUAACUGCUUUGCAUGAUAAAUACUCACUCAACUCAAUGCCAUUGGAUAUCUUUGCAGAUUUUUUGGUCAACAAAACUAAGAAGCUAAUAUGUUUGAAAAUAUCAUGAAAGAUGUCGAGAGUGAAAAGAAUAAGUUGAUUUUAAAUCAAGAUCUUGUGCAGGAAAAACUUGGAGCAACUCCUAAAACUGAAAAGGUCAACAAUGCUGUUUUUGAGUGACUAAAAGAAAGCGAGAAACUCAUAGAAGAGAUUCUCAAAGAAAUAACAGAACUAGAGAUUCUCAAUUAUGAUUGUUCAUUUGCAUGGAUACUGUGGUUAUUGUGUGCUGAUCAUAAGAUGAGAAAUAGGAGGUACGGAGAAAUGCUAG